RNAcentral lists this ribosomal RNA (474 nucleotides) under Aschiphasma annulipes. RNAcentral describes it as "partial large subunit ribosomal RNA". The stretch from base 333 to 474 matches the Rfam family "Bacterial large subunit ribosomal RNA", at positions 2473 to 2614 of the family's 2925-position model. The record is from RNAcentral. Lineage: Eukaryota; Metazoa; Arthropoda; Insecta; Phasmatodea; Aschiphasmatidae.
AUUAAAUGGCUGCGGUAUUUUGACCGUGCAAAGGUAGCAUAAUCAUUAGUUUAUUAAUUGUUAACUUGUAUGAAUGGUUUGAUGAAAUAAAAUCUGUCUUCAUUAUUAUAAUUAUAAUUUAAUUUUUUGGUUAAAAAGCCUAAUUUUAAUUAAGGGACGAGAAGACCCUAUAGAUCUUUAUUUUUUUAUAUUUUUAUUUGUUAAAUUUAUAUUUAAAUUUUUAUUAAAUUUGGUUGGGGUGACAAGGGGAAAUAUUAAACUCUUCUUUAUUUUUUCAUUUAUUUUUGUUAUUUUAAAUUUUUAUUAUUUUUUUUAGAAUUAGAUACCUUAGGGAUAACAGCGUAAUUUAAUUUGAGAGUUCUUAUUGACAAUUAANAUUGCGACCUCGAUGUUGGAUUAAGAAUAUAUUAUGGUGUAUAAGUCAUAAAAAUUAGGUCUGUUCGACCUUUGAUAUCUUACAUGAUCUGAGUUCAA